Molecule: RNA transcript, 1281 nt
Organism: Tachysurus vachellii
Lineage: Eukaryota; Metazoa; Chordata; Actinopteri; Siluriformes; Bagridae
Gene name: protein mono-ADP-ribosyltransferase PARP15-like
Exons: 2
Source: RefSeq, a predicted model, not a curated record
AUGCUAUCGUAAAAAUGUUUUCAUUUUUUUUGUUUUGUUUUGCUUCAAAACAAAAUAGAUUACUUUUUAAAAUUUGAUUACAUUUGACAAAAUGAGGUCUAGGCUCAACAAUAGACAUUGCCAUUUCUAGGAUAUGCCUAUAUGGGGGGCUUACAUCAUGUUGUACUCAAUUGCUUUUCCCUAUUUACGGGCUGCAUGUGUUCCUCACCAGAUGUUCUCCUCAUUUUGCUUUGUGCUCUUUGCAGUCAUAGCACCCUGUUUCUGUUCCUGUUUUGCCUGGUUUGACUUUUUUUGUUCCUUAUUUCUGAUUCCUGCCUGAUUCUACAUUGCUCUCUUCCUGGUUCUGGAGGAAUUGACUGUUUAUUUACUUUGUUUUCUGACUGCCAUGCAUUGCUCUGUUUGCCUGUGUUCUGGGUAAUUGGACUGUUUUUUGUUUUUUUUAUCUGUUUUGUGCCUGCCCUGCAUUUCACUGUUUUCUCCAUGUUGGUUUUUUCACCUUUCUUGAUGCUGGUUUUAGAUCGCCCUGAAUUGCUCUGCUCACCAAGCUUAUGGAAGAGGCAUAUACUUUAUGUUGAUGCUUCAUGUGCCCAGAGAAGAUACCAGUGGACAGAAGGUGAUGUUUUUGGGUCAAGCAGAAACAGGCACGUUUACCGUAGGCCGAAAAGGGAUCAGUGUGCCACCUCCAGUAGACCCCUUUAACCCAGGCAUCCUUUACCACAGUGUGGUGGACAACAAGGACAAUCCAACUGUAUUUGUCAUGUUUAGUUCAGAUAGGACUUAUCCUGAGUACUGCAUCACAUUUACAGAUUAAUCUCAAGUAAAACAUACUAUUUUAAUUAACAUUUAAAUUUUUUUUGGCUAGGAAGUGAUUAUUUUACUGGUAGUCCUGACCAAUGAAUACUAGUUCUGAACCUGUACUGUGAAUAUUGUUAUUUGAAAGUCACUUUGAAUUUUUUUUUAUUUUGUUUUUCUUAUGGCUUUAUAACCUUUUUCAGACAGAUAGAUCUCAAUUACUUACUUUCUCAUUUGUUCCUGAAUUUCUUUGGAUCUUGGCAUGAUGUGUAGCUUUUGAGGAUCUUUUGGCCUACUUCACUUUGUCAGUCAGGUCUUAUUUAGGUGAAUUCUUGAUUUGCGAACUGGUGUGGCAGUAAUCAGGCCUGGGUGUGGCUCAGGUGUGAUAAACCACAGUUAAGUUAUGUUUUAACAGGGGGGCAAACAUUUUUCACACAGGGCCAUGUGGGUUUGGAUUUUGUUUUCCUUUAAUAAACAAAACCUUCAUUU